This 446-nucleotide ribosomal RNA is filed under the name uncultured bacterium. RNAcentral's name for it is "partial 16S ribosomal RNA". It matches the Rfam family "Bacterial small subunit ribosomal RNA", at positions 29 to 523 of the family's 1533-position model. The record is from RNAcentral.
AACGAACGCUGGCGGCAGGCUUAACACAUGCAAGUCGAGCGCGUAGCAAUACGAGCGGCAGACGGGUGAGUAACACGUGGGAAUCUACCCAUCACUAGGGAAUAACUCAGGGAAACUUGUGCUAAUACCCUAUACGACCGAGAGGUGAAAGAUUUAUCGGUGAUGGAUGAGCCCGCGUUGGAUUAGCUAGUUGGUGGGGUAAGGGCCUACCAAGGCGACGAUCCAUAGCUGGUCUGAGAGGAUGAUCAGCCACACUGGGACUGAGACACGGCCCAGACUCCUACGGGGGCAGCAGUGGGGGAUAUUGGACAAUGGGCGCAAGCCUGAUCCAGCCAUGCCGCGUGAGUGAUGAAGGUCUUAGGAUUGUAAAGCUCUUUCACCGGUGAAGAUAAUGACGGUAACCGGAGAAGAAGCCCCGGCUAACUUCGUGCCAGCAGCCGCAGUAA